This 238-nucleotide ribosomal RNA is filed under the name uncultured bacterium. Its description in RNAcentral is "partial 16S ribosomal RNA". It matches the Rfam family "Bacterial small subunit ribosomal RNA", at positions 1263 to 1500 of the family's 1533-position model. The record is from RNAcentral.
UAGAGCAAAUCNCAAAACUCGGUCUCAGUUCAGAUUGCAGGCUGCAACUCGCCUGCAUGAAGUUGGAAUUGCUAGUAAUCGCGAAUCAGAAUGUCGCGGUGAAUACGUUCCCGGGCCCUUGUACACACCGCCCGUCACACCAUGAGAGUCGAUAACACCCGAAGCCUGUGAGCUAACCGUAAGGAGGCAGCAGUCGAAGGUAGAGCCAAUGAUUGGGGUGAAGUCGUAACAAGGUAUC